This 3678-nucleotide unclassified non-coding RNA is filed under the name Hevea brasiliensis (rubber tree). Lineage: Eukaryota; Viridiplantae; Streptophyta; Magnoliopsida; Malpighiales; Euphorbiaceae. The record is from RNAcentral.
CUACUUGAAACCUCUCAAGUGGCAACUCAAGACGCAGAGCUUCGUUAGUCAACUUCCCCUCUCCUCUCACCAUUUUGGCUCCAAAAGCAAAACGAGAUCUUACAAAUGCAGAAUGGAAUGGAUCUGAAUUCCUUCACAAGGAGGCGAUUAUCACCUUCCAAGUACACUGAUCAAGGCCCCGCCCAGCUCUUUGGGCCCCGACUUCGGAGAUUCGGAACCACUACGAUGACUCUCACCAAGAUCUUGGCAACCGGUUUGGUUGCUUUGCCUGUAUUAUUCACGCUCUCCAUGAUGCUUCGACACCAGCCGUAUGAUCGGUUACUGAGGUUGGCUGAAGCUAGAGUUCUCGAAAAAAGAACCCAACCAAAUGAUACAGGAGCGUUCUCAUCAUUAGGACUAGGACGUGGAUCAGAACAUGUUCUAUCACAACCUACUGAUAAAUCCAAUGACAAAUUGCUUGGUGGACUCCUUGCCGCUGGAUUUGAUGAAGCUUCUUGCACCAGUAGGUACCAAUCCUAUUUAUAUCGAAAGACUUCCCUCUAUCAGCCUUCUUCAUAUCUCAUUUCCCGACUCAGAAAUUAUGAGGAUCUUCAUAAACGUUGUGGACCUAAUACUGAGUCCUACUACAGAGCUCUUGAACAACUCAAGUCUGGCCAAACAGUUGGUUCUCCAGAUUGUAAAUAUGUUGUAUGGAUAUCUUUUAGUGGCUUGGGUAACAGGAUACUAUCCCUAGCUUCAACAUUUCUUUAUGCUCUUCUCACAAAUAGAGUCCUGCUUGUUGAUCGAGGUAAGGACAUGGCUGACCUCUUCUGUGAGCCGUUUCCAGAGAAAUCAUGGUUUCUGCCCAUGGAUUUCCCUUUCAUUGGUCAAUUUGAAAGCUUUGAUCAGAAAUCUUCUCAUUGUUAUGGGAAAAUGCUGAAGAAUAGUGUCUUAAAUGCUUCAGCAGAAUCGGUCCCAUCUUAUCUAUACCUCCACCUAGUUCAUGAUUAUGAUGAUCAUGAUAAGCUUUUCUUUUGUGAUGAAGAUCAAUCUCUUCUUGCAAAAGCCCCCUGGUUGAUUACAAAAACAGAUAACUACUUUGUCCCUUCUCUUUUCUUGAUCACUUCUUUUGAGCAAGAGCUAAGCAAAUUAUUUCCUGAAAAAGGAACCAUUUUCCAUCACCUGGGGCGGUACCUUUUCCACCCCUCAGAUCAUGUAUGGGGACUAAUCACAAGGUAUUAUCAAAUUUACUUGGCAAAGGCAGAUGAGAGCAUUGGCAUUCAAAUAAGAGUUUUUGAUUCAAGACCUGGUCCAUUUAAACAUGUGAUGGAUCAAAUUUUAGCCUGUACUCUGAAGGAGAAACUGUUGCCUGAGGUAGAUAUGCAAGACUCUGUUGUUACUCUUUCCGAAAACCCAAAAUUGAAAGCUGUUUUAGUGACAUCAUUAAAUUCAGGGUACUCUGAAAAUCUGAAGAACAUGUACUGGGAACACCCAACUUUGACUGGGGAAGUUGUUGGCAUUUACCAGCCAAGCCAUGAGGAGUAUCAACAAACGGAGAAGCAGAUGCACAACAGGAAGGCAUGGGCAGAAAUGUACCUCCUCAGUUUGACAGAUGCAUUGGUAACUAGUUCAUGGUCAACAUUUGGCUAUGUUGCACAAGGUCUUGGAGGUUUGAAGCCCUGGAUACUUUAUAAGCCUGAAAAUGAGACAGCCCCUGAUCCACCUUGUCACCGGGCAAUGUCAAUGGAACCUUGUUUUCAUGCUCCUCCCUUUUAUGAUUGCAGGGCUAAGAAAGGAACUGAUACAGGUGCGCUCGUUCCUCAUGUGAGACAUUGUGAGGAUAUGAGCUGGGGUCUAAAGGUGAUAGACAAUCACGAUGAAUUAUAGAAGCCAUUGUUAUUUUGUUAGUUCACCAAUUUUGCAUACAAGUUUAGACGUGAUACAUUAAAACUGGUGGCCCUUGAGCACUGUUUCCUGAACAAUGCAUGAACAGUCCUGAAUUCAGAGUGUUUUCUCUUUUGUUCUCCUCUCAUGGUAUGGGUGACCUGGCAAGAAAUUGUUGCGCCUGCUUUCCAGAAAGUGAUGGAGAAAUUUAGCGACCUAGAAUUUGAACCGUGAAGAUCUACGUGCCAAAGUCUCCGCGAUAUUGUUGUCUGCAAUAUAUGUUACAACAAAGAACAAAACUUGCAACAUACACACCAGAAAACUUGCUAAAUAUGUGACUACGUACUGGCAGAAUAAAGAGAAGAGUGAGCUAAUCAGAGUAGAGGAGGCAUGGACUGAGAUUUUUUGGGGGCCUGAACUCAGAUGGGGGAAGUCAAUGUUGGUAUCAAUGUUACAUGUGUUGUUCUGUGUGAUAAAAUAUUAAAGGUUGCUUUUAUAAAUAAUAAUGUUCUUUUUUCUUCUCUUUUAAUAGAAAAUCAUUUGAAAUUAACAGAAACUUUUCCUUUCAUCCAAUGCCAGUUAGCAGAAACAUUAGAAUUUAUCGUAUUAUUGAAUUCACAUAAUCAUGUAAACAUUACCAGCGGGUUAUAAUCUAGUACAUAUAAUUAUUUGAUGUGCAGGUCUGCAAUACUGAACGUAUAUAGGGAACUGUAUUGUAACGCUCACUCACUUGAGUACUGGUUAAGAAUGUCGUAAGCUAUGAAGAGUUGCAGAACUGAGAAUUCUCAUAGACAAGUAGUGUUGGAUAAAGGGGUUUAUUUCUUAUUGAGUUUGAGACCAUUUGACUAAUGGAGUACUAAAAUUGAAACUAGGGAAUGAAAGAGCUCAAAUAGCUUCUAAACAGAAUAUCAGAGAACUAAUUUGCAAAUGACAAGAUAUGUGCAAGUGUAAAAUGACUUUCGAUGAUGACCAAGAAAAAUGCAAAGUAAUACACGAUAUCCCCAGUGGUUGGGUGGGUAGCUCCACUGAUUAUUGCAACCAAUGCUAUUGAAGCUAAAGAAAAGCUAUUCCAAGCCACCUCUUUGUCCGCCCUGCACCCUAGCUGCCUUCUCUUCUUUCAGCCUGUUCAGAAUUUGACGUACGUUGGGAUCAUAGAAACGAGCACGAACAUACUUCCUCUCCUUGGCUUGAAUUUCCUUAAUGACACUAGGAUAUGGAUUAGGAGGUGGUCUUUUUCCCUGAGCACGGGCAAUUUGUUUCAAUCUUUUAUAUGCCUUCUCUUUUGCCUCCCUCUCUACCUCAUAUUCCAUAUUGGCUAACUCCUCAGCGUCCUUCUCUUUAAGUCCCCGCUCCAUCAACUCAAGCACCCGCAAACCAAAUACACGGGCUGGAGGGGGAUCAAAACCACAAAUCUUAAUGGCAUCUUCAUAUAUUGAAUGUGGAUUGCGCUCAAAGAACUUCUUUACAUAAGGAUCCUCCGGGAGAUGAAUUUUCUCAACUUUCCCAUCAGUGCGUGGAAAUGUUGCAGGCGGUGCCCUGAAUAAUGAAAUCAAGUGCACAGAUUAGGGGAAAAAAGAGGGGAUUUUUGCAGAAGCCAUAUAAUCCACUGACAAAACUAGAUAACCGUUUACAUCCAGAAAUCAAAAACUAAUAAAAUUUAAAACUAUAUCAGAAAAAGAAGGAAAGAAAUAGAGACUUGACUGUUCCAUGGCUUUGAGCCAAGCAGGCUCGGCUUUGGCCAAACCCUUGACGAGCUUCCUGGUUCUUGUCAGCAAAUCUCCUCUCAUGUAAGACAUGGCUACACCUCUGUUUUUU